RNAcentral lists this ribosomal RNA (468 nucleotides) under uncultured bacterium. RNAcentral describes it as "partial 16S ribosomal RNA". It matches the Rfam family "Bacterial small subunit ribosomal RNA", at positions 28 to 507 of the family's 1533-position model. The record is from RNAcentral.
GACGAACGCUGGCGGCGUGCUUAACACAUGCCAGUCGAACGGAAAGGCCCUGCGUUUGUGGUGUGCUCGAGGGCCGAACGGGGGAGUAACACGUGAGUAACCUGCCCUUGACUUUGGGAUAACUUCAGGAAACUGGGGCUACUACCGGAUAGGAGCUCCUGCUGCAUGGUGGGGGUUGGAAAGUUUAGGCGGGUGGGGAUGGACUGGCGGCUUAUGAGCUUGUUGGUGGGGUAGUGGCUUACCAAGGCUUUGACGGGUAGCCGGCCUGAGAGGGUGACCGGCCACAUGGGGCCUGCGGUACGGCCCAGAGUGGUACGGGAGGCAGCAGUGGGGAAUAUGGCACAGUGGGCGGACGCGUGAUGAAGAGGCGCCGCGUGCGGGAUGCCGGCUUGCGGGUUGUAAACCGCUUUAGCUUGUGACGCGGCGUGAGUGACGGUAAUGGAUAAAGAAGCACCGGCUAACUACGUG